UUAAUUUAGUUAAGUGGAUAACGCUAUGGCGUUUAAAGCAAACGGUACUGGGUUCGAGUCCCAGAGUGAACA
RNAcentral lists this transfer RNA (72 nucleotides) under Schistosoma mansoni. The record is from RNAcentral. Lineage: Eukaryota; Metazoa; Platyhelminthes; Trematoda; Strigeidida; Schistosomatidae.